Molecule: ribosomal RNA, 823 nt
Filed under: uncultured bacterium
Lineage: Bacteria
Description: bacterial SSU rRNA
Rfam family: Bacterial small subunit ribosomal RNA
Source: RNAcentral
ACGCUGCGGCAGCUACACAUGCAAGUCGAGCGGUAGAGAGAAGCUUGCUCUCUGAGAGCGGCGGACGGGUGAGUAAAGCCUAGGAAUCUGCCUGGUAGUGGGGGAUAACGUUCGGAAACGGACGCUAAUACCGCAUACGUCCUACGGGAGAAAGCAGGGGACUUUCGGGCCUUGCGCUAUCAGAUGAGCCUAGGUCGGAUUAGCUAGUUGGUGAGGUAAUGGCUCACCAAGGCGACGAUCCGUAACUGGUCUGAGAGGAUGAUCAGUCACACUGGAACUGAGACACGGUCCAGACUCCUACGGGAGGCAGCAGUGGGGAAUAUUGGACAAUGGGCGAAAGCCUGAUCCAGCCAUGCCGCGUGUGUGAAGAAGGUCUUCGGAUUGUAAAGCACUUUAAGUUGGGAGGAAGGGCAUUAACCUAAUACGUUAGUGUUUUGACGUUACCGACAGAACAAGCACCGGCUAACUCUGUGCCAGCAGCCGCGGUAAUACAGAGGGUGCAAGCGUUAAUCGGAAUUACUGGGCGUAAAGCGCGCGUAGGUGGUUUGUUAAGUUGGAUGUGAAAUCCCCGGGCUCAACCUGGGAACUGCAUUCAAAACUGACUGACUAGAGUAUGGUAGAGGGUGGUGGAAUUUCCUGUGUAGCGGUGAAAUGCGUAGAUAUAGGAAGGAACACCAGUGGCGAAGGCGACCACCUGGACUAAUACUGACACUGAGGUGCGAAAGCGUGGGGAGCAAACAGGAUUAGAUACCCUGGUAGUCCACGCCGUAAACGAUGUCAACUAGCCGUUGGGAGCCUUGAGCUCUUAGUGGCGCAGCUAACG